Sebastes umbrosus (honeycomb rockfish) is the source of this 1241-nucleotide long non-coding RNA. RefSeq lists it as uncharacterized. NCBI's taxonomy places the organism in Eukaryota, Metazoa, Chordata, Actinopteri, Perciformes, Sebastidae. The record is from RefSeq and is a predicted model, not a curated record. The transcript is spliced from 3 exons.
UUAACAUUCAUAAAAGAGAAAAGCAACACCUUCAGAUAUUGAAAACAAUAAUAACCCAUCUGCUUUCUCAGUCUCUCUGUAGCAUCGCUGGAGUGUAUUCGGUGUCCUGAGCGGUUCUGGUUCAACUCAGACCAAACAGUGUGCGUCCCCAGCAGGUGCGAGCCAACAACUCAGAGGUGAGCUUCGCGCUCCUGCUGUCGCUCAAGUUGUGCUUCCUAUGUGCGCUGGCUUUCUUUGGACAGCCAGAGGCUUGAUCCUGUAUGCUGAGACAUAUGCUGUUUGGACUCAGCUUUGUGUUGUGUUUCUCCUGUCUGCUGAGCGUUCCAUGCUGCCGGGGGAGAACCUGAUGCGUUAUGUGGGUCCUGCUCAGCAGUGGUUUGGCAUCUCUGUCUGCACCCUGGUACAGGUGCCGAUGUGUGUGCUGUGGCUGACCCUGGCUCCUCCUCAGCCUGCAGAAAGAGACAUCCUGUACCACUGGGGACCCAAGAAGAUUCUUGAAUCUGUGAUGGGCUCUGUGGGGGACUUCUCACAUGGUUGGUCUGUUGGCCUGUCUCAGCUGUCUCCCUGACAAAUUUAAUGAAUCCAAACUGUUCACUAUUCAGCAGGCUGAUCUUCUGUACUGUCUGGGUGGCCUUUGUGCCCUACAUUAGCUACAUUAGCUCUCCUGGGAAAUACACUGUUGCAGUGAAGAUUUUUGCCAUCCUGGCCUCAAGUUAUGGUCUUCUGUUCUGUAUCUUUGUUUUAUUAUUCUUCUGAGGCCUCAGAGAAACACUAAAAAAACACCUGAUGGCAAUAUAUUGGGAAAACUUCAUGGUCAAUAGAUGAGGGCAUAAAAGACUUCAAAUGAAAAUAAAAACAGAAUUUGCCCAAGUAUCGACUUUUGAAAACUGUAUGGUGUCUAUCAUGACAACAGCAACAAAAGAAAGAAAGAAGCAAUGAAUAAAUAAAUGUUCAAUGUUAUUUGUAUUCAAAUAUCGUCACUUUUCGUCUGCGCUCAUUUUAUCUGCAGUGUACGUAAUUUAAAAUAAGCUAUUAAACGUUGCUGCUGAAUGUACUGUAACACAAAUAUCUGCAUAUGUAUUUCUGCAACGAAAAUGAACAUUUCAUCAUAUUAUCAGCUCAUGAGUUGGUGUGGUGCCACUCUGACAGCCCAUCAUAAGCAUUCACUCAUCAGACAGUGGAUGUGUGAGUGUUUGUGUGGCGCACUGUGAUAAUUGUUUGCUCUCGCAGAUAUUAUUCAG